UCUCCUGGAAACGGGUGGUAAUGCCGGAUGCUCCAUCACACCGCAUGGUGUGUUGGGAAAGCCUUUGCGGCAUGGGAUGGGGUCGCGUCCUAUCAGCUUGAUGGCGGGGUAACGGCCCACCAUGGCUUCGACGGGUAGCCGGCCUGAGAGGGCGACCGGCCACAUUGGGACUGAGAUACGGCCCAGACUCCUACGGGAGGCAGCAGUGGGGAAUAUUGCACAAUGGGCGCAAGCCUGAUGCAGCGACGCCGCGUGAGGGAUGGAGGCCUUCGGGUUGUAAACCUCUUUUGUUAGGGAGCAAGGCAUUUUGUGUUGAGUGUACCUUUCGAAUAAGCACCGGCUAACUACGUGCCAGCAGCCGCGGUAAUACGUAGGGUGCAAGCGUUAUCCGGAAUUAUUGGGCGUAAAGGGCUCGUAGGCGGUUCGUCGCGUCCGGUGUGAAAGUCCAUCGCUUAACGGUGGAUUCGCGCCGGGUACGGGCGGGCUUGAGUGCGGUAGGGGAGACUGGAAUUCCCGGUGUAACGGUGGAAUGUGUAGAUAUCGGGAAAGAACACCA
RNAcentral lists this ribosomal RNA (556 nucleotides) under Bifidobacterium breve. RNAcentral's name for it is "bacterial SSU rRNA". It matches the Rfam family "Bacterial small subunit ribosomal RNA", at positions 146 to 711 of the family's 1533-position model. The record is from RNAcentral. Lineage: Bacteria; Bacillati; Actinomycetota; Actinomycetes; Bifidobacteriales; Bifidobacteriaceae.